Molecule: ribosomal RNA, 318 nt
Filed under: uncultured Flavobacteriaceae bacterium
Lineage: Bacteria; Pseudomonadati; Bacteroidota; Flavobacteriia; Flavobacteriales; Flavobacteriaceae
Description: bacterial LSU rRNA
Rfam family: Bacterial large subunit ribosomal RNA
Source: RNAcentral
AAUAAGCUAAUUAAGAGCGUAAGGUGGAUGCCUUGGCUCUCAGAGGCGAUGAAGGACGUGAUAAGCUGCGAUAAGUUACGGGGAUUGGCACACACAAUUUGAUCCGUAGAUUUCCGAAUGGGGAAACCCACUAUAUUGAAGAUAUAGUAUCCGUUAAGGAAGCAAACCCAGGGAACUGAAACAUCUAAGUACCUGGAGGAAUAGAAAACAAAAGUGAUUCCGCUAGUAGUGGCGAGCGAACGCGGAUCAGCCCAAACCAAAAUUGUUUCGGCAAUUUUGGGGUUGUAGGACCACGACAUUGAAUGUUUAAUGAAUUAG